This is a long non-coding RNA of Pomacea canaliculata, 554 nucleotides long. RefSeq lists it as uncharacterized. NCBI's taxonomy places the organism in Eukaryota, Metazoa, Mollusca, Gastropoda, Architaenioglossa, Ampullariidae. The record is from RefSeq and is a predicted model, not a curated record. The transcript has 2 exons.
UUCACUCGUUUCGAUCACCUGCCCCACCCGCGGUUGCGUGAACUGCCGCACACCUUUUCCCUCCGCGCUGGGUCGCGGACUGCGCCGGCUCCGCAUCUCUACAGGGAGGCUGCUGCUCCAAGAAUUGAUGCUGCCUUUCAAGUGGCAGCGAGGAUGCAGGUGUUGAUGGUGUAACGGGAUCCGAUGUUGCUAGAAGAGCAUCUCCUUACACAGCGCGAGAACAUCCGCAGGGCGCGGCACUGUGCAGCAGCAGCAACUGCUGGAGACUCCAGGCAUUCCUCCCGCUCGUGAUGACUGCCGUACACUAGUGCUCAGCAUGAGGGAUGGAGACCACAAACAGCAUGCAGUUCUCUGUGUGUGAGAGAGAGAGAGUGUGUGUGUAUGUGUGAGUGCGUGCGCUCUGUGUGUGUGUGUGUUUUGUUGUUUGGGUGUAAUAUUGUUAUGUUUAAUGCUGUGUAUAUUUUUAACUAGUUAUUUUUGUCCUAUCAAAAAAACACACAUACUUGCUUGUAAUAAGAAACACGAGGAGCAAUUAAAAUAUUUUUGUCUGAAUA